This is a non-coding RNA of Domibacillus enclensis, 98 nucleotides long. Lineage: Bacteria; Bacillati; Bacillota; Bacilli; Caryophanales; Bacillaceae. The record is from Rfam.
AGGGCGGCAUCAUCCCCGAGCUGCACCGCGUUCAACAAGUUUAAACGCAUUCACAUAAGACAAACACUGCCUUGAUCCGGAUGGACAGGGACAGAGGG